This 375-nucleotide ribosomal RNA is filed under the name uncultured bacterium. RNAcentral's name for it is "bacterial SSU rRNA". It matches the Rfam family "Bacterial small subunit ribosomal RNA", at positions 524 to 898 of the family's 1533-position model. The record is from RNAcentral.
UACGGAGGGUGCGAGCGUUAAUCGGAAUCACUGGGCGUAAAGGGCGCGUAGGCGGUGGGUUACGUCUGCCGUGAAAUCCCCGGGCUCAACCUGGGAAUGGCGGUGGAAACGGGCUGACUAGAGUAUGGGAGAGGGUGAUGGAAUUCCAGGUGUAGCGGUGAAAUGCGUAGAGAUCUGGAGGAACAUCAGUGGCGAAGGCGGUCACCUGGCCCAAUACUGACGCUGAGGCGCGAAAGCGUGGGGAGCAAACAGGAUUAGAUACCCUGGUAGUCCACGCCCUAAACGAUGGAUACUAGAUGUUUGGUGCCUUAGGUGCUGAGUGUCGUAGCUAACGUGAUAAGUAUCCCGCCUGGGAAGUACGGCCGCAAGGUUAAA